GACAGAGGGCGCAAACGUUGUUCGGAAUUACUGGGCGUAAAGCGUGUGUAGGCGGCCCUGUAAGUCGGGUGUGAAAGCCCCGGGCUCAACCCGGGAAGUGCACUCGAAACUGCGAGGCUCGAGUAUCGGAGAGGUUGGUGGAAUUCUCGGUGUAGAGGUGAAAUUCGUAGAUAUCGAGAGGAACACCGGUGGCGAAGGCGGCCAACUGGACGAAUACUGACGCUGAGACACGAAAGCGUGGGGAGCAAACAGG
RNAcentral lists this ribosomal RNA (253 nucleotides) under uncultured prokaryote. RNAcentral's name for it is "partial 16S ribosomal RNA". It matches the Rfam family "Bacterial small subunit ribosomal RNA", at positions 524 to 776 of the family's 1533-position model. The record is from RNAcentral.